RNAcentral lists this transfer RNA (72 nucleotides) under Mycobacteriales bacterium. RNAcentral's name for it is "tRNA-Ala". It matches the Rfam family "tRNA". Rfam says of the family: Transfer RNA (tRNA) molecules are approximately 80 nucleotides in length. Their secondary structure includes four short double-helical elements and three loops (D, anti-codon, and T loops). RNAcentral also lists the same sequence under 3 other names. Lineage: Bacteria; Bacillati; Actinomycetota; Actinomycetes; Mycobacteriales. The record is from RNAcentral.
GGGGCCAUAGCUCAGUGGUAGAGCAGCGCCUUUGCAAGGCGAAGGUCCGGGGUUCGAAUCCCCGUGGCUCCA